This 85-nucleotide transfer RNA is filed under the name Felis catus (domestic cat). It matches the Rfam family "tRNA". Rfam says of the family: Transfer RNA (tRNA) molecules are approximately 80 nucleotides in length. The record is from Rfam by way of RNAcentral. Lineage: Eukaryota; Metazoa; Chordata; Mammalia; Carnivora; Felidae.
GCCUGGGUGGCUUCGUCGGUUAAGCAUCCGACUUUGGCUCAGGUCAUGGCCUUGCAGUUCGUGGGUUCGAGCCCCACAUUGGGCU